UUGUGGGGCUCCUAGUUUGCAAGAAACAACAUUUUACAUUUUCAGAUCAUUUUUAAUUAACCCAGUCUCUACUUACUGCUUAUUUCAGGAACAAGACAAAGCUAUUAAGCAACUGAUUGCCAAGCUCUCAUGACCACUAACCAUUACAGCAAUCUCCGAAAACCAAAAUCAGCCAGAGGGAGAGAACAAGUCAGCAUCUCCUGAGAAUCAGCCAUGCUGCAACUUGAGGGACUGACCAAGAAAGCAACGAGCCAGCCCUCCUGGAGCAUCUUCAGUUGAACUUAUCAUGGCUGCCUUGGAGUCCUGAAUUCAUUUAGAAACUGAUUUUCCUAGCUGUCUGACUUUGAAGAAGAUCCAGAAACCACACAGUGCUGAAACCAGUGAGUAAAUUUGCUGAGGACAUUUUAAACGUAUUGCUUUUAUCAGCUGUCUUUCCAUUGGAUGGAUAUGAAGUACCAUAAAAAUAUGGUGAAGGGGCUGGAGAUUUA
Long non-coding RNA from Cavia porcellus (domestic guinea pig), 488 nucleotides. RefSeq lists it as uncharacterized. The record is from RefSeq and is a predicted model, not a curated record. Lineage: Eukaryota; Metazoa; Chordata; Mammalia; Rodentia; Caviidae. The transcript is spliced from 3 exons.